RNAcentral lists this ribosomal RNA (468 nucleotides) under uncultured bacterium. Its description in RNAcentral is "partial 16S ribosomal RNA". It matches the Rfam family "Bacterial small subunit ribosomal RNA", at positions 28 to 507 of the family's 1533-position model. The record is from RNAcentral.
GACGAACGAGGGAGGCGUGCUUAACACAUGCAAGUCGAACGGAAAGGCCCUGCUUUUGUGGGGUGCUCGAGUGGCGAACGGGUGAGUAACACGUGAGUAACCUGCCCUUGACUUUGGGAUAACUUCAGGAAACUGGGGCUAAUACCGGAUAGGAGCUCCUGCUGCAUGGUGGGGGUUGGAAAGUUUCGGCGGUUGGGGAUGGACUCGCAGCUUAUCAGCUUGUUGGUGGGGUAGUGGCUUACCAAGGCUUUGACGGGUAGCCGGCCUGAGAGGGUGACCGGCCACAUUGGGACUGAGAUACGGCCCAGACUCCUACGGGAGGCAGCAGUGGGGAAUAUUGCACAAUGGGCGGAAGCCUGAUGCAGCAACGCCGCGUGCGGGAUGACGGCCUUCGGGUUGUAAACCGCUUUCGCCUGUGACGAAGCGUGAGUGACGGUAAUGGGUAAAGAAGCACCGGCUAACUACGUG